This is a long non-coding RNA of Cygnus olor (mute swan), 1989 nucleotides long. RefSeq lists it as uncharacterized. The record is from RefSeq and is a predicted model, not a curated record. NCBI's taxonomy places the organism in Eukaryota, Metazoa, Chordata, Aves, Anseriformes, Anatidae. The transcript has 12 exons.
CUCCGCUAACGCGCUCUUCUUGGAAGCAGGUUAUAGUAUUUCAGGCCAUUCAAGCACACAAGCACGAUGCUGGCUUACAACAUGGACCUGCAAAAGCAUGACAUCCUCUGCAUAAAAUCCGAGGUAUCUUGCUGCUAGUAAUGAACUUUAUCUUUACAAAGUACUAUGUACAGAUGAAACUCCCUUGUGAAACUUCAUUUGAGGAAGGCCAGAUUAGUGCACAACUGACAAAGGGAAGCCAUGCGUUUUGACAAGAGACUGGGAAGUUUUUAGGAAUAACAAGGAAGAUGUGUGAAGGAAGCAAAGACCAUACCAGUUGUUGAUGUCUUCUGCAGAGCGGUCGCUCCUGGAACCAGUGUGUAGGUUGCUGUCCCAGACAUAGCCAAGCUUCGUCUUCUGUCUGUUUUUCUUCCAUUCUUUCGUCCCUUCCUCUUGCCCUCUCAGAAGCGUCCUGAAGUGAGAUCCAGUGGACACAGAUGUAGAACAGGGGAAGAAAGCUCGCAAUGGCAAGGCGUUGAAGCAAGUGCUGUGUAGGCAGCAGAAGUCCUGAAAUGAUCAAGUAACUCCAGCUGUGUGAGACAGUUGAUGGUCUUAGAGAAUCCCAUCCAACCAAACGAUCCCUUUCUGGAGACUGGUUUGUGCUGCCUGAAAACUGUGGACUGGUUCUCUACUUCGAAUUCCUUACCAAGAACUUCAUUUUUCUUGGCAGGAUGAGAUGUCUGUCCCUGCUCUGGAUCUGUAGCACCAUGGCAUCCCUGCUGUCCACAGACCCUGUGUGGAGGAGUCGCCCCGUGCUCCCUCUGCUGCCUCUCACAUCAAGGACCGAUUCAGCAGCUCUGACCAGGAAAGUGCCUGGUCCCAGCUGCCGUACACAGCUUAGCAGAGGCAGCGCAGAAGCUCCCCGGGCCGACAGCCCAGCUGCACAGAAGUGUACCCCGAGCCCGUCAUCUCCCCCCACUGUGCAGUGGUGGUGACCACGAGGCUUCAGUGCCCCAGGACGGCUCACCUGUGCCCCUGCAAGAGCAGGGCUGUGCCUUACAAAGUCCAGACCAGUGCUACACUGCUCUAGGAGCCCAGGGUCACACAGCACAAGAUUCAUGGCUCUGAUGACCAUCCCUGCUACUCAAGGCAAGAAGACACUAUGCAAAUGAUCCAGCGAGGUUCUCCGGAAGAGGUAGAGGAAUCGCACUGAAAUCUUUACUGGGUUAGAUACGUAGCCUCUAGACAAGGUUGUACUUAACUGCAUUCUCAAUGGACGAGAGGCUGUCACCCUGCCUGGGGGAACGACAAACAAACUGUGAGCUCUGCAGCCUGGCAUUUGGAGGUGGUGUCACUUACCCCUGAGAGUCCUCGGUGUCGCUCUUCGUGUAUUGGUCUCGAAGGGUCCUGGCCAAGAAGAAGAUGACAGCAGAUGCCACAAGAAGGAACCCUGCCACAGAAGCAAUGGCGAUACCCACAACCAGUGGUUCAGACACGUACUCCUCACAGUGCUCCCCUCUGUACCACCAGUUCUCUCCUACACGACACCUGCAAAAAGGAAACACUGGGAAAUCAGACACCAGGAAAAACUCUGACUUCAGUUAACAUAGAUGUAUUUAAUUUCGUCUUAUGACAGUGCCUCAGUUAUCUUAAAAAACAUAUUUGUAUGUUUAAGCACUAACAUUUUGUUAUUAUUACUAUUGUGAACAGCCUUUUUUGUUACUGAGGAUUUUAGUGAAGAGAGGUAGAACAAAAAGGAUAAAGCGUUAGUGAUGGCAAAAAGCCUCUAUUUUUUUGCUAUUUAGAGUAUCCUGCAACGUGUUAAAACUGUAAGGUGUUUAGACCAAGUAAAAAGUUAGGCAGUGAUAGAGACUUGCACAUGAUGUAGCAAACACUGUAAAUGUAGUCUUAAUGAUAUUGUAAUGCAAAUACACAUGAAGGUAUGUUAAUGAGCAGAACGUUUAUUGUAUGCAAACUCCACAGUGAUUAAAUACACAAUGACUAGAAAAA